This 465-nucleotide ribosomal RNA is filed under the name uncultured Klebsiella sp. RNAcentral describes it as "bacterial SSU rRNA". It matches the Rfam family "Bacterial small subunit ribosomal RNA", at positions 338 to 795 of the family's 1533-position model. Lineage: Bacteria; Pseudomonadati; Pseudomonadota; Gammaproteobacteria; Enterobacterales; Enterobacteriaceae. The record is from RNAcentral.
CCUACGGGAGGCUGCAGUGGGGAAUAUUGCACAAUGGGCGCAAGCCUGAUGCAGCCAUGCCGCGUGUGUGAAGAAGGCCUUCGGGUUGUAAAGCACUUUCAGCGGGGAGGAAGGCGGUGAGGUUAAUAACCUCAUCGAUUGACGUUACCCGCAGAAGAAGCACCGGCUAACUCCGUGCCAGCAGCCGCGGUAAUACGGAGGGUGCAAGCGUUAAUCGGAAUUACUGGGCGUAAAGCGCACGCAGGCGGUCUGUCAAGUCGGAUGUGAAAUCCCCGGGCUCAACCUGGGAGCUGCAUUCGAAACUGGCAGGCUAGAGUCUUGUAGAGGGGGGUAGAAUUCCAGGUGUAGCGGCGAAAUGCGUAGAGAUCUGGAGGAAUACCGGUGGCGAAGGCGGCCCCCUGGACAAAGACUGACGCUCAGGUGCGAAAGCGUGGGGAGCAAACAGGAGUAGAUACCCGGGUAGUC